This 468-nucleotide ribosomal RNA is filed under the name uncultured bacterium. Its description in RNAcentral is "partial 16S ribosomal RNA". It matches the Rfam family "Bacterial small subunit ribosomal RNA", at positions 28 to 507 of the family's 1533-position model. The record is from RNAcentral.
GACGAACGCUGGCGGCGUGCUUAACACAUGCAAGUCGAACGGAAAGGCCCUGCUUUUGUGGGGUGCUCGAGUGGCGAACGGGUGGGUAACACGUGAGUAACCUGCCCUUGACUUUGGGAUAACUUCAGGAAACUGGGGCUAAUACCGGAUAGGAGCUCCUGCUGCAUGGUGGGGGUUGGAAAGUUUCGGCGGUUGGGGAUGGACUCGCGGCUUAUCAGCUUGUUGGUGGGGUAGUGGCUUACCAAGGCUUUGACGGGUAGCCGGCCUGAAAGGGUGACCGGCCACAUUGGGACUGAGAUACGGCCCAGACUCCUACGGGAGGCAGCAGUGGGGAAUAUUGCACAAUGGGCGGAAGCCUGAUGCAGCAACGCCGCGUGCGGGAUGACGGCCUUCGGGUUGUAAACCGCUUUCGCCUGUGACGAAGCGUGAGUGACGGUAAUGGGUAAAGAAGCACCGGCUAACUACGUG